Non-coding RNA from Larimichthys crocea (large yellow croaker), 73 nucleotides. The record is from Ensembl. NCBI's taxonomy places the organism in Eukaryota, Metazoa, Chordata, Actinopteri, Sciaenidae.
UAGAAAGUGGUGUAGUUUGGAAGCACUAGGAGUUUUGAGUUCCUCAGGUAGGGUUCAAGUCCCCCUUUUCUAA